GCUGGGUAAGGUGGCACAUGCCUGUAAUCCCAGUGGCUUGGGAGGCUGGGGCAGGAGGAUUACAAAUUCAAUUGCCUCAGCAAUUUAGCAAGGCCCUAAGCAACUCUGUGAGACCCUGUCUCUA
Molecule: small RNA, 124 nt
Filed under: Marmota monax (woodchuck)
Lineage: Eukaryota; Metazoa; Chordata; Mammalia; Rodentia; Sciuridae
Source: RNAcentral